RNAcentral lists this ribosomal RNA (420 nucleotides) under uncultured bacterium. RNAcentral describes it as "bacterial SSU rRNA". It matches the Rfam family "Bacterial small subunit ribosomal RNA", at positions 356 to 773 of the family's 1533-position model. The record is from RNAcentral.
CGGGAAUAUUGGGCAAUGGAUGCAAGUCUGACCCAGCCAUGCCGCGUGCCGGAUGAAGGCCCUCAGGGUUGUAAACGGCUUUUAUUCGGGAAGAAGAGCAGGGAUGCGUCCUUGUGUGACGGUACCGAAUGAAUAAGCACCGGCUAACUCCGUGCCAGCAGCCGCGGUAAUACGGAGGGUGCGAGCGUUGUCCGGAUUUAUUGGGUUUAAAGGGUGCGUAGGUGGCUGAUUAAGUCAGUGGUGAAAUACAGCCGCUCAACGGUUGAGGUGCCAUUGAUACUGAUCAGCUUGAAAUAAUUGGAGGCUGCCGGAAUGGAUGGUGUAGCGGUGAAAUGCAUAGAUAUCAUCCAGAACACCGAUUGCGAAGGCAGGUGGCUACGAUUUAUUUGACACUGAGGCACGAAAGCAUGGGGAGCAAAC